RNAcentral lists this ribosomal RNA (331 nucleotides) under uncultured eukaryote. RNAcentral describes it as "partial 18S ribosomal RNA". It matches the Rfam family "Eukaryotic small subunit ribosomal RNA", at positions 1470 to 1796 of the family's 1831-position model. The record is from RNAcentral.
CCCUUAGAUGUUCUGGGCCGCACGCGCGCUACACUGACGAAGUCAGCGAGCAUGUCCUACGCCGACAGGUGCGGGGAAUCUUGUCAAACUUCGUCGUGAUGGGGAUUGAUUAUUGUAAUUCUUGAUCAUCAACGAGGAAUUCCUAGUAAGCGCAAGUCAGCAGCUUGCGUUGAUUACGUCCCUGCCCUUUGUACACACCGCCCGUCGCUACUACCGAUUGAAUGGUUUAGUGAGAUCUUCGGAUUGGCGCCACUGCGGCUCAGCAAUGGGCUCGGUGGAUGCCGAAAAGUUGAUCAAACUUGAUCAUUUAGAGGAAGUAAAAGUCGUAACA